GGGGUAACGCAGCGGAGCCUCUGGGUCAUCCUCUCCAUCCGUGUCUCUUGUCCCUGUUGCUUCGGCGGGUCCGCCUUCCUUUUAGGGGGGGGGCUCUCUAGCCCCCCGGGCCCGCGCCCGCCGGAGACUCCAACAUUGAACACUGUCUGAAGUUUGCAGUCUGAGUUUUCAUAUAUGAAAAAUCCCUCCAACUUUCAACCUACGAAAUAUUGGUUCCGGCAUCGAUGAAGAACGCAGCAGAUCAUUACCGAGUACGGGCCUCUGGGUCCACCUCC
This 275-nucleotide unclassified non-coding RNA is filed under the name uncultured Aspergillus. RNAcentral describes it as "sequence contains ITS1". Lineage: Eukaryota; Fungi; Ascomycota; Eurotiomycetes; Eurotiales; Aspergillaceae. The record is from RNAcentral.